RNAcentral lists this ribosomal RNA (182 nucleotides) under uncultured bacterium. Its description in RNAcentral is "partial 16S ribosomal RNA". It matches the Rfam family "Bacterial small subunit ribosomal RNA", at positions 1319 to 1500 of the family's 1533-position model. The record is from RNAcentral.
CAUGAAGCCGGAAUUGCUAGUAAUGGCAGGUCAGCAUACUGCCGUGAAUACGUUCCCGGGCCUUGUACACACCGCCCGUCACACCAUGAGAGUUGGGAAUACCCGAAGCCUGUGAGCUAACAUUUAUGAGGCAGCAGUCGAAGGUAGAAUCAAUGAUUGGGGUGAAGUCGUAACAAGGUACC